This 249-nucleotide ribosomal RNA is filed under the name uncultured bacterium. Its description in RNAcentral is "partial 16S ribosomal RNA". It matches the Rfam family "Bacterial small subunit ribosomal RNA", at positions 523 to 769 of the family's 1533-position model. The record is from RNAcentral.
AUACGUAGGUGGCAAGCGGUUGUCCGGAUUUAUUGGGCGUAAAGCGAGUGCAGGCGGUCUUUUAAGUCUGAUGUGAAAGCCUUCGGCUUAACCGAAGAAGGGGCAUCGGAAACUGGGAGACUUGAGUGCAGAAGAGGAGAGUGGAACUCCAUGUGUAGCGGUGGAAUGCGUAGAUAUAUGGAAGAACACCAGUGGCGAAGGCGGCUGUCUGGUCUGUAACUGACGCUGAGGCUCGAAAGUAUGGGUAGC